AUGCAACACCAAGACCUCAGCCCCCCGACCGUGCUUGGCCCCCAUCCACGCCAGCGAAUCGGCGCGGCUCGCCGGACGGCGGAUGCGCAAGAUCGGUGCCGUGCCGGUGACCUCAUGGUCGCGGGCGGCUAUGGCAGCUCGGCCGUCGUGGUCCGCUCAACGGCGCCCUCCUCGUGGUCGAACUCCACCUUCGUCGGCGCCAUCACUAAUGACCCGUGCAACGUCAGCGUGCUCGUGGUGGGCGGCCUCAUCGUCCCCUACGGCUUCGACAUCGCCGCGACCGUCUCCAACAGCCACCGGUCCCCCGCAGGCAACAUCACUCGCGUCCUCACCGAAGCCCGGGGGUUCAAUGUGGCCGCCUCCUUGCUCGAGGCCUCCGGCGUCACGGAUGACUUCGAGGCCGAUGAGCGCGGCGCCCGCAUCACCAUCUUUGCCCUCCUCGCGCAAGGCACCUCCCUGCACGCGACCAGCAAUGCGGGUGUAUGCACCCUCGACCCGUUCGAAGAAAUGCCGGACCACAACGGUCACAAUGAUGGCCCUGUACAUUGGAAUUAA
RNAcentral lists this ribosomal RNA (555 nucleotides) under Triticum aestivum (bread wheat). Its description in RNAcentral is "partial small subunit ribosomal RNA". The record is from RNAcentral. Lineage: Eukaryota; Viridiplantae; Streptophyta; Magnoliopsida; Poales; Poaceae.